GCUGGGCGUGGUGGCGUGUGCCUGUAAUCCCAGUUACUUGGGAGGCUGAGGCAGGGGAAUUACUUGAACCCAGGAGGUAGAGGUUGCAGUGAGCUGAGAUUGUGCCACUACACCCCAACCUGGGUGACAGAGUGAGACUCUGUCUCAA
RNAcentral lists this small RNA (148 nucleotides) under Pongo abelii (Sumatran orangutan). Its description in RNAcentral is "Metazoan signal recognition particle RNA (ENSPPYG00000031320.1)". It matches the Rfam family "Metazoan signal recognition particle RNA". From Rfam's summary of the family: The signal recognition particle (SRP) is a universally conserved ribonucleoprotein. It is involved in the co-translational targeting of proteins to membranes. Lineage: Eukaryota; Metazoa; Chordata; Mammalia; Primates; Hominidae. The record is from Rfam by way of RNAcentral.